AUUGAACGCUGGCGGCAGGCUUAACACAUGCAAGUCGAACGAUGAAGACAUAGCUUGCUAUGUUGGAUUAGUGGCGGACGGGUGAGUAACACUUAGGAAUCUACCUUUUAGCGGGGGAUAGCUCGGGGAAACUCGAAUUAAUACCGCAUAAUUUCUACGGAAUAAAGAGGGCUUUUAGCUCUCACUAGAAGAUGAGCCCAAGUAAGAUUAGCUAGUUGGUGGGGUAAAAGCCUACCAAGGCGACGAUCUUUAGCUGGUCUGAGAGGAUGAUCAGCCACACUGGGACUGAGACACGGCCCAGACUCCUACGGGAGGCAGCAGUGGGGAAUAUUGGACAAUGGGGGCAACCCUGAUCCAGCCAUGCCGCGUGUGUGAAGAAGGCCUUUUGGUUGUAAAGCACUUUAAGCAGUGAAGAAGAUCUAUUGGCUAAUACCCAAUAGCGAUGACAUUAACUGCAGAAUAAGCACCGGCUAACUCUGUGCCAGCAGCCGCGGUAAUACAGAGGGUGCAAGCGUUAAUCGGAAUUACUGGGCGUAAAGCGAGCGUAGGUGGUUAAAUAAGUCAGAUGUGAAAGCCCUGGGCUCAACCUAGGAACGGCAUCUGAAACUAUUUAACUAGAGUAGGUGAGAGGGAAGUAGAAUUUCAGGUGUAGCGGUGAAAUGCGUAGAGAUCUGAAGGAAUACCGAUGGCGAAGCAGCUUCCUGGCAUCAUACUGACACUGAGGCUCGAAAGCGUGGGUAGCAAACAGG
Molecule: ribosomal RNA, 749 nt
Filed under: uncultured bacterium
Lineage: Bacteria
Description: bacterial SSU rRNA
Rfam family: Bacterial small subunit ribosomal RNA
Source: RNAcentral